This is a non-coding RNA of Labrus bergylta (ballan wrasse), 876 nucleotides long. NCBI's taxonomy places the organism in Eukaryota, Metazoa, Chordata, Actinopteri, Labriformes, Labridae. The record is from RefSeq and is a predicted model, not a curated record.
GAACUCUGCGGCUGUGUAUUGACUUCCGUGAAGUGAACAAGAAAACCCUUCCUGAUCGCCAACCGAUUCCCAGAGUGCAAGACAUCAUGGAUGGCCUAGGUGGAAAUUCCUGGUUCUCUCUCUUAGAUCAAGGUAAAGCUUACCAUCAGGGCUUCAUGGCUAAAGAAAGCAGACCUAUGACAGCUUUUGUGACACCUUGGGGUCUUUAUGAAUGGAUUCGAAUACCCUUUGGUUUGAUGAAUGCCCCAGCUGCCUUCCAGCGAUGUAUGGAAGAAUGUUUGGAAGGGCUGCGUGAUGAGAUCUUCAUACCAUACCUGGAUGACACGCUUGUCUUUAGCAAAUCAUUUGAGGACCAUGUUGAGGAUGUGAGAACAGUGUUACAGCGACUACGUCAGCAUGGGAUAAAGUUGAAACCAAGGGAUCCAGCCAGAGUCAGUGGAUGAGAUGGUGGUUCGGAAACCAAAAUUGAAGUUGGUGUCAAAUCAGGUGUAAAAUCCACCUUGUAUGCAGCAUAUUCAGCUAGACAGGCUUGUCACCUUUGAUGUCCAGGGGGCCUUGGUAGUUCGUCAACAGGCAGCAAACUGCCCAUAGUUGGUUGAUGGAGCCGGCCAAGGAGAGAGGAACAACCCCAUCCCAGAUAUGGUAUUCCUUGACACGUCGUAUUAUCCUCUCCACCAACACUCUCAGGCAGGCAAUAGCUUGAGUUUUUCCAGUGUCUGAUGUGCUGAGCUGAGGGGCGGUUUUUAGUGGGGGGAUGAUCAGUGAUGCCCCUACCUCUGCCAGCAUAUCCUCAAUUAAAAACCCUUUGUCAUUUAUUAUAAGACAUUUGUUUUCUAUUGAACCCCGUGAAGUCAUGGAGUCUGUGGACAGUGUCAG